This is a long non-coding RNA of Cygnus atratus (black swan), 150 nucleotides long. RefSeq lists it as uncharacterized. The record is from RefSeq and is a predicted model, not a curated record. The transcript has 2 exons. NCBI's taxonomy places the organism in Eukaryota, Metazoa, Chordata, Aves, Anseriformes, Anatidae.
UAGAUGUGAGAACACCCAAGCUGUCUUGGAAAAGGGUCACAAGAUCCCAGCAACCUAUUGCAAGCUGGUGAAUGACUCAAGGAUAUGAUGGCAUAAACCAACAAAGCCCAGAGCUCUCCCCAAAGUCAUUAAACUGAUGUUAAAACUGGG